CCCUCGUCCCUCCUGACCACGGGUGCUCCAAACUGGCACCGCUUCCCCCUGGGUGCUUGACGUGGCUUCCCCGAGGCCCAUCCCAGCGUGGCCUGGCGCCCACUGCUGUCCUGGGCUAUAAAAACCUGUAUGCUGGGGUCUCCGGUGCUGCCCGCCCCCAGCACUGCCCACCAGGCUGGCCGACCUCACUGCUCUACUGAAAUGGCACCAACCAGCCUUGCCCUGGCAGCAACCUCUGCCUCAUUCUGCUCCAGCAGGCACCAGCCAACCACUUUCCAGAGAACCUCGGACCCUCAGACGUGUGCUCCCGCCCUGGUCUUGAAUCCCCAAGGCUGUCACAAAGGUAGAUUCCCGGGUACCCUUCUCUCUGGGGUCUCUGAGGACAGGGAUCCUACGACUUCCUAACUCAGACUCCAAACCAGAAAUCACAUGAUCCAGGUCCCAAUCCCUUCACUUUUCACUUCCAGUGGGUCCCACCAGGGCAGAGGUCUGUCACGACAAGUCACCUCCCCCGACUCUACUCCCAGCCUCCCACCAAACCAGGAAAGAGGAGACCCAUGCCAGGCCCACCCUGCCCACUGCCCCAAGGAGAGGCAGAAGAACUGGCCUCCCCCAACAUUUCAGAACAUCGCCAGAUGAUCUGGGCAGGGUAUUAGCAUUUGAACAGUCAUUUCCCACUUUUAUAGCAUUCCUAGGAGUACCAACAAAAGAAGGGAUGAGAAAAUCUGAAGCCAUCUGACUCUCUUUCAAUAUUCAUAUGCACCUAUGAAUGAAUGAAUGAAUGAAUGAACGAAUG
RNAcentral lists this long non-coding RNA (796 nucleotides) under Dasypus novemcinctus (nine-banded armadillo). Its description in RNAcentral is "lncRNA (ENSDNOG00000051722.1)". Lineage: Eukaryota; Metazoa; Chordata; Mammalia; Cingulata; Dasypodidae. The record is from RNAcentral.